CUCAGUAACGGGCGAUUUAUUUAAUCUCCUGGGACGGACAACAUCGGGAAACUGAUGGGAAAACGUCUAAGUUGCAGUUUUGUGAGUGCGACGUAAACGAUAAUCGUGCAGGAGAGUAAGAUGCCAUCCUAUCAGUUAGUAAGUAGGGUAAGGGCCUACUUAGACGAAGACGGGUACGGGGAAUGAGGGUUUGAUUCCGGAGAGGGAGCCUGAGAGAUGGCUACCAGGACCAAGGUCAGCAGCAGGCGCGAAAAUUAUCGAAGCCCGCCUAGGGGCGAUAGUGAGGAGACGUGUAUUCGAAGUACGUGUAAAGAACGUACUAAUAACUGGAGGUCAAGUCUGGUGCCAGCA
RNAcentral lists this ribosomal RNA (351 nucleotides) under Dictyocoela sp. Its description in RNAcentral is "SSU rRNA". It matches the Rfam family "Microsporidia small subunit ribosomal RNA", at positions 87 to 398 of the family's 1311-position model. Lineage: Eukaryota; Fungi; Microsporidia. The record is from RNAcentral.